UUAAAUUGAAGAGUUUGAUCAUGGCUCAGAUUGAACGCUGGCGGCAGGCCUAACACAUGCAAGUCGAACGGUAACAGGAAGCAGCUUGCUGCUUUGCUGACGAGUGGCGGACGGGUGAGUAAUGUCUGGGAAACUGCCUGAUGGAGGGGGAUAACUACUGGAAACGGUGGCUAAUACCGCAUAACGUCGCAAGACCAAAGAGGGGGACCUUCGGGCCUCUUGCCAUCAGAUGUGCCCAGAUGGGAUUAGCUUGUUGGUGAGGUAACGGCUCACCAAGGCGACGAUCCCUAGCUGGUCUGAGAGGAUGACCAGCCACACUGGAACUGAGACACGGUCCAGACUCCUACGGGAGGCAGCAGUGGGGAAUAUUGCACAAUGGGCGCAAGCCUGAUGCAGCCAUGCCGCGUGUAUGAAGAAGGCCUUCGGGUUGUAAAGUACUUUCAGCGGGGAGGAAGGUGUUGUGGUUAAUAACCGCAGCAAUUGACGUUACCCGCAGAAGAAGCACCGGCUAACUCCGUGCCAGCAGCCGCGGUAAUACGGAGGGUGCAAGCGUUAAUCGGAAUUACUGGGCGUAAAGCGCACGCAGGCGGUCUGUCAAGUCGGAUGUGAAAUCCCCGGGCUCAACCUGGGAACUGCAUUCGAAACUGGCAGGCUUGAGUCUUGUAGAGGGGGGUAGAAUUCCAGGUGUAGCGGUGAAAUGCGUAGAGAUCUGGAGGAAUACCGGUGGCGAAGGCGGCCCCCUGGACAAAGACUGACGCUCAGGUGCGAAAGCGUGGGGAGCAAACAGGAUUAGAUACCCUGGUAGUCCACGCCGUAAACGAUGUCUACUUGGAGGUUGUGCCCUUGAGGCGUGGCUUCCGGAGCUAACGCGUUAAGUAGACCGCCUGGGGAGUACGGCCGCAAGGUUAAAACUCAAAUGAAUUGACGGGGGCCCGCACAAGCGGUGGAGCAUGUGGUUUAAUUCGAUGCAACGCGAAGAACCUUACCUGGUCUUGACAUCCACAGAAGUUUCCAGAGAUGGAUUGUGCCUUCGGGAACCGUGAGACAGGUGCUGCAUGGCUGUCGUCAGCUCGUGUUGUGAAAUGUUGGGUUAAGUCCCGCAACGAGCGCAACCCUUAUCCUUUGUUGCCAGCGAUUAGGUCGGGAACUCAAAGGAGACUGCCAGUGAUAAACUGGAGGAAGGUGGGGAUGACGUCAAGUCAUCAUGGCCCUUACGACCAGGGCUACACACGUGCUACAAUGGCGCAUACAAAGAGAAGCGACCUCGCGAGAGCAAGCGGACCUCAUAAAGUGCGUCGUAGUCCGGAUUGGAGUCUGCAACUCGACUCCAUGAAGUCGGAAUCGCUAGUAAUCGUGGAUCAGAAUGCCACGGUGAAUACGUUCCCGGGCCUUGUACACACCGCCCGUCACACCAUGGGAGUGGGUUGCAAAAGAAGUAGGUAGCUUAACCUUCGGGAGGGCGCUUACCACUUUGUGAUUCAUGACUGGGGUGAAGUCGUAACAAGGUAACCGUAGGGGAACCUGCGGUUGGAUCACCUCCUUACCU
RNAcentral lists this ribosomal RNA (1546 nucleotides) under Salmonella enterica subsp. enterica. RNAcentral describes it as "bacterial SSU rRNA". It matches the Rfam family "Bacterial small subunit ribosomal RNA". The record is from RNAcentral. Lineage: Bacteria; Pseudomonadati; Pseudomonadota; Gammaproteobacteria; Enterobacterales; Enterobacteriaceae.